AGGGGUUGGAGCGGAGAACUUUCUAGAGACGCCGACUGCGGAGCCGGUUCGGCCUCUUGUUGAUCCUUCCCGGUACCUAGACAUCACUCCCAAGUCCCGGCCUGCCAGUCGCCCCCAACCCGCUCUGUGAAUUGCAGCCCGCAGCGGGAUUUGACCGAGCCGCUCAGCCGAAUGUGAGUGGCGCUUGCCCUCUUCCCAAUCCGGACCGCAAAUACCGACGGCGUGGCCUCAACUGUCUUUACCGGGCAUGGCCACUUGAUGAGUGGCAGAAAAAGGGACCAAGGUAGUGGACGGGUGGUGGGUGGGCCUGGACAGCGGCUACUCGGAUGCAUAGAAUUGGGAGAAGCAACCCUGAUCUCCCCAGGACCCGAAAGCUCCUGCCACGGCCAGAAGAUGUGCAGCUUUCAGCUCUUCAGAAGGCUAAGAGCUACCAAUUUGCAAGAAAUGACCAGUUGAGCUAAGGACUCUUAAAUGGGGCAUUUUAUUAAAGGAACUUUCCCCGACCACAAUAAAACGACCAGAUGGGUUAAUAUUAAAAACAAAAUGUUUUAAACUCAAGAAAGAAGCCAUUCUUUUUUACUAAAAGGUGCAUAGGAAGAAAUAUUUUCUUCUCAAUGCCUGUCCCCAGGUGUUUAUGGAGUGCCUUGGAGUUCAGAGUGUAUGUUUGGGUCAAAACUUUUUGCAGCGCCUAGUUACCUAUACAAUUUUGGUUUGACCGAAAGAUCUAUCCAGAGCGGGUUCUGAUUUUGCUGUGCUGUUAACCUCAGAACCUGGUGGGUGGUAGCAAAUGGAUAUUGACUCCAUGAAUUUUUAUUCCAAAAUAAUAAACUUUUUUAUUUGGGCA
This is a long non-coding RNA of Sciurus carolinensis (gray squirrel), 844 nucleotides long. RefSeq lists it as uncharacterized. The transcript has 2 exons. The record is from RefSeq and is a predicted model, not a curated record. Lineage: Eukaryota; Metazoa; Chordata; Mammalia; Rodentia; Sciuridae.